CCUACGGGAGGCAGCAGUGGGGAAUUUUGGGCAAUGGGCGCAAGCCUGACCCAGCGACGCCGCGUGGAGGAUGAAGGCCUUCGGGUUGUAAACUCCUGUCAGGUGGGAAGAAAUCUCUGCCGGUGAAUAUCCGGCAGCGUUGACGGUACCACCAAAGGAAGCCACGGCUAACUCUGUGCCAGCAGCCGCGGUAAGACAGAGGUGGCGAGCGUUGUUCGGAUUUAUUGGGCGUAAAGCGAACGCAGGUGGUUUGGUAAGUCAGAGGUGAAAGACCACAGCUUAACUGUGGCACUGCCUUUGAUACUGCCUUUCUAGAGUGCAUGAGGGGGAAGCGGAAUUCCGAGUGUAGAGGUGAAAUUCGUAGAUAUUCGGAGGAACACCGGUGGCGAAGGCGGCUUCCUGGCAUGUAACUGACACUCAUGUUCGAAAGCGUGGGUAGCAAACAGGAUUAGAUACCCUGGUAGUCCACGCCCUAAACGAUGGGCACUAGGUGUGGGAGGUAUCGACCCCUUCCGUGCCGCAGCUAACGCAUUAAGUGCCCCGCCUGGGGAGUACGGCCGCAAGGUUGAAACUCAAAGGAAUUGACGG
RNAcentral lists this ribosomal RNA (588 nucleotides) under uncultured bacterium. RNAcentral describes it as "bacterial SSU rRNA". It matches the Rfam family "Bacterial small subunit ribosomal RNA", at positions 338 to 916 of the family's 1533-position model. The record is from RNAcentral.